GCUUUCAUACAUUUAAUUCCCUCAUUCUUUAGGUUGUUUUGAGAAUUUAUAAUUCCAAACUGUUUUAAGCACUGGGUGGUAAAUUAGGUGAAGUUCCUGCUCUUAUGGAACUUAUAUUCUCAUCUGGGCAUAAAAUAAAUAAGAAAACCAAUGAAGAAAAUAAUCAUAGAAAAUAGUAAGGAAUGUGAAGGAAGUAUAGGGUGAUGUGACAGAGAACAGCAGGGAUUGACAUAGAGCAGUCAGGCUAGACCUGUCUGAGAAGAUUACAGCAAUGGUGAGACCUAAAAGUUGAGAAGGAGGCAGACAGGCUAAGACUUGUAAAAGGAGCAUUCCUGGUCCACGAAAGAGCAAGUGCAAAGGCCCUGAGGCAGGGAUAAGUGUGGCCGAGCGGAGGAGGAGAAAGGAUGCAAUUGAAGCUGAAGCGCAGUGUGUGUGGUGAAAGAGCGGGGCCUUGGAUGGAGUGAUUUGGAGAGGUCAGCAAGGGUCAGUAGGGCAAUUUAGGAUAAGAAAAGGAACUUGAACUUUAUCCUAGUGGUAACAGGGAGCCAUAAAAAGGGGAAGCAGGUCCAGGUUACACUUUUCAGUGACUCUGAUUGGCAUGGGGAGAAUGGGUGAGAGACUCAAGAGUCAUCAUAAGAACAGGAAGGAGCACUCCAGCAGCCCUGGGCCAGGGCAGUCUGAUGGGUGUCUUGUUUCAUUCUCCUGCAGCCACAGUAGUUUUCUUUCCAGUUUUUUUUUUUAACUCACUAAGCUCUUUCUUGACUUUCAUCGGGAAUACUAUUUCAGCCCCUCUUUCUCUAACUAACUCCCCAACUCAGUUUUAGGCAUUUUUAUUCAACAUCUUUAUAUCUGGGAAGAUUUCUCUGAACAAGUCCAGGGGAGUGCUCUCUGUUAAACACUCAUGGCCCCCAGUUCUUCCUCUUAGUAGCACCC
RNAcentral lists this long non-coding RNA (933 nucleotides) under Dasypus novemcinctus (nine-banded armadillo). Its description in RNAcentral is "lncRNA (ENSDNOG00000051190.1)". Lineage: Eukaryota; Metazoa; Chordata; Mammalia; Cingulata; Dasypodidae. The record is from RNAcentral.